GUUGAACGCUGGCGGCAGGCCUAAUACAUGCAAGUCGAGCGGUCACAGGAGGAGCUUUGCUUUUUUGCUGUCGCGUCGCGGGCGGGUGUGACAUGUCUGGGACCCUGCUAGAAGGAGGGGGAUACCUACUGGAAACGGUAGCUAAUCCCGAAUAACGUCGCAAGACCAAAGUUGGGGACCUUAGGGCCUCUUUCCUUUGGCUGAUACCAGAUGGGAUUAGCUAGUAGGUGGGGUAACGGCUAACCAAGGCGACGAUCCCUAGCUGGUCUGAGAGGAUGACCGGCCACACUGGAACUGAGACACGGUCCAGACUCCUACGGGAGGCAGCAGUGGGGAAUAUUGCACAAUGGGCGCAAGCCUGAUGCAGCCAUGCCGCGUGUAUGAAGAAGGCCUUCGGGUUGUAAAAUUCUGUCAGCAGGGAGGAAGGGAGUAAAAAGAAUACCUGUACCCAUUGACGGUACCCGCAGAAAAGGCACCGGCUAACUCCGUG
This 490-nucleotide ribosomal RNA is filed under the name uncultured bacterium. RNAcentral's name for it is "partial 16S ribosomal RNA". It matches the Rfam family "Bacterial small subunit ribosomal RNA", at positions 28 to 507 of the family's 1533-position model. The record is from RNAcentral.